UAAGUUUACUCCGAGCUUCCUUAUACAUGUUGCCAGAUUUUGCAUCCACCACAACAGGAUGAAAUAAGUCCUUGCAGUAAUUAUGAUCCCACAUCUUCUCCAAAACAGAAUAGUUCGAAGUAGUGAGCUUGUUGGUAUUUAAAGCUGAACAAUCCUAUUGUCCAAUCCUCACGGGUUACUCUUUGAUCAAAUCAAAUGUUAAACGUUUUAUCUUGAUCCCCAAGACUGGUGACUUUUCUACAAAGCAAAUGGUAUGUCACAUGGUUGUAUGAAUCUAGAUUUCCACAAGAUUUCAGGUCCCUGCAGCCAAGCUCAGAUGUUAUCCCCCUUUUUCAACUCUUUGUAGUUGUUAUGAUAAUGUAGCAGCAAAAGCUUUCCGGUCACUUUUUGUUUAUUUCACCAAGCUGAUUCUAUCAGUGUAUAUUGCGUCAUUUUUACACUAUAGUAUACAAGUUUGUCUAUCUGCAUAUAAAUCAUUAUAUAUCAAUUGUGUGUUGGUGGAAGAAAAAAGUGGGUAAUGUUUUUGAGUUUAUACCUGCUA
Long non-coding RNA from Asparagus officinalis (garden asparagus), 541 nucleotides. RefSeq lists it as uncharacterized. The transcript is spliced from 2 exons. Lineage: Eukaryota; Viridiplantae; Streptophyta; Magnoliopsida; Asparagales; Asparagaceae. The record is from RefSeq and is a predicted model, not a curated record.